RNAcentral lists this ribosomal RNA (389 nucleotides) under uncultured bacterium. RNAcentral's name for it is "bacterial SSU rRNA". It matches the Rfam family "Bacterial small subunit ribosomal RNA", at positions 30 to 420 of the family's 1533-position model. The record is from RNAcentral.
AUUGAACGCUGGCGGCAUGCCUUACACAUGCAAGUCGAACGGCAGCGGGCCUUCGGGUGCCGGCGAGUGGCGAACGGGUGAGUAAUGCAUCGGAACGUGCCAUUGAGUGGGGGAUAACGUAGCGAAAGUUACGCUAAUACCGCAUAUUCUGUGAGCAGGAAAGCAGGGGACCGCAAGGCCUUGCGCUCUUUGAGCGGCCGAUGUCAGAUUAGCUAGUUGGUGAGGUAAAAGGCUUACCAAGGCGACGAUCUGUAGCGGGUCUGAGAGGAUGAUCCGCCACACUGGAACUGAGACACGGUCCAGACUCCUACGGGAGGCAGCAGUGGGGAAUUUUGGACAAUGGGCGCAAGCCUGAUCCAGCCAUGCCGCGUGAGUGAAGAAGGCCUCGG